RNAcentral lists this small RNA (125 nucleotides) under Marmota monax (woodchuck). Lineage: Eukaryota; Metazoa; Chordata; Mammalia; Rodentia; Sciuridae. The record is from RNAcentral.
GCUGGGCGCGGUGGCACACGCCUGUGAUCCCCGCACUUGGGAGGCUGAGGCAGGAGGAUCGUGAGUUCAAGGCCAGCCUCAGCAAUUUAGGGAGACCUAAGCAAUUCUGUGAGACCCUGUCUCAA